GAAGAAGGUGUCCACUAGUCUCCUAGCACCCUAAAGAUGUAGGAACAAGAGUCAAACAAACCUUACGAUCAACCCUAAACUCAAUCAAUAAGCAACAUAGGCUAAGGUGGAGAAAAACUCACCUAGGUGAAGAAAUCCUCUCUCAAGCUCCAAAUGGGAGUUAGAGUUCUUCAAAUCCAACCUAAAUGAAGGUCCUAAGCCCAUCAAUUAGGUUUCAAAGCCCUCAAAUCAAAAAUCCCCAAAAUAAAUCCUAAAUCCCAAAAUCUAGGGUUUCAUCUAGUAAAAUCUAGAAAAACUUGUAUUAAAUGGGAAAUACAAGCUACCAACCUCAAGAGAAGCUCCAAUCCAAGCUCUAAACUAAGUAGGGUUGGAGUUUGAUCCUCGAUAAGGCUCCAACCGUAAGCUCCAAGUCACCAAAGGUGAGAAAUGAGGGGAAGAAGAUGAUGCUCCAAGGCCUCCAAGCAAGUUCCUCUCCUUCUCCUUCUUCUUCCUCUUCUUCUCCUUCUCUUUCUCUCUCUAAAGUGAGUGUGAAGGGGAGAAAUGAGAGUGAGAGGAAGAGAAAAGAACAUAUAAGCCAACCCAAGUAACAAAAUCCACUUAGGUCCCUCAACAAUUAAAACAGUGCACAACUCAGUCUAGGCAGUUUUCGCCCAGAGGGACCGGUCUCUCCCUGCCAGGGACCGGUCUCUCGGUUCGUCCCGCAUAACCAACGUUCGGGAAUCGGUCUCUCACUGCCGGCGAUCGGUUGCCUCAAGUCUGUCGCAACACUGUUCUGAGGGGACCGGCUCUCCCACCAGGGACCGGUCUCCGAGAGUAAAAACUCUCAGGACUAAGCCAAAAUUCUAGAAAUCGAACUUUUAGGCCGGAAUACCAUCUACGACCUUCAACCAAGUGUGGAGAAGUUCGAAGUCCACAUCAAACACUCGAACCUCACAAUUCGCACAGGUCUAGUGUAUUACAUUCACCCCUCCUAAAAAGGAGUUUCGUCCGCGAAACUCGAAAGCAAACAACAUACCUCAAGACUCCAUCUGAAAAGGAUGGGGAUAACGCUCCCGCAGCGCGCUCUCUAGCUCCCACGUGGCCUCCCGCUCCCCGUGGUUGCUCUAAAGAACCUUCACAUACGGAAUGUCCC
Molecule: long non-coding RNA, 1132 nt
Filed under: Ananas comosus (pineapple)
Lineage: Eukaryota; Viridiplantae; Streptophyta; Magnoliopsida; Poales; Bromeliaceae
Description: long non-coding RNA (ACOM_LNC034430)
Source: RNAcentral